AGUGAACGCUGGCGGUAGGCCUAACACAUGCAAGUCGAACGGCAGCACAGUAAGAGCUUGCUCUUACGGGUGGCGAGUGGCGGACGGGUGAGGCAUACAUCGGAAUCUACUUUUUCGUGGGGGAUAACGUAGGGAAACUUACGCUAAUACCGCAUACGACCUACGGCUGAAAGCAGGGGAUCUUCGGACCUUGCGCGAUUGAAUGAGCCGAUGUCGGAUUAGCUAGUUGGCGGGGUAAAGGCCCACCAAGGCGACGAUCCGUAGCUGGUCUGAGAGGAUGAUCAGCCACACUGGAACUGAGACACGGUCCAGACUCCUACGGGAGGCAGCAGUGGGGAAUAUUGGACAAAGGGCGCAAGCCUGAUCCAGCCAUACCGCGUGGGUGAAGAAGGUCUUCGGGCCGUAAAGCCCUUUUGUUGGGAAAGAAAAGCAGCAGGUUAAUACCCCGCUGUUCUGACGGUACCCAAAGAAUAAGCACCGGCUAACUUCGUG
Molecule: ribosomal RNA, 492 nt
Filed under: uncultured bacterium
Lineage: Bacteria
Description: partial 16S ribosomal RNA
Rfam family: Bacterial small subunit ribosomal RNA
Source: RNAcentral